Molecule: ribosomal RNA, 647 nt
Filed under: uncultured archaeon
Lineage: Archaea
Description: bacterial SSU rRNA
Rfam family: Archaeal small subunit ribosomal RNA
Source: RNAcentral
UCUGACGGUGAGGAACGAAGGCUAGGGGAGCAAACCGGAUUAGAUACCCGGGUAGUCCUAGCUGUAAACACUGCCCACUUGGUGUUGCAUCUCCGGUAAGGGGGUGCAGUGCCGUAGCGAAGGUGUUAAGUGGGCCGCUUGGGGAGUAUGGUCGCAAGCCUGAAACUUAAAGGAAUUGGCGGGAGAGCACCGCAACGGGAGGAGCGUGCGGUUUAAUUGGAUUCAACGCCGGAAAACUCACCGGAGGCGACCUAUGUAUGAGAGUCAACCUGAUGAGUUUACUCGAUAGUAGGAGAGGUGGUGCAUGGCCGUCGUCAGCUCGUACCGUAGGGCGUUCACUUAAGUGUGAUAACGAGCGAGACCCCCAUCUUCAAUUGCUAAUUCAAUCGUGAGGUUGGAAGAACUUUGAAGGGACCGCCAGCGCAGAGCUGGAGGAAGGAGGGGUCGACGGCAGGUCAGUACGCCCCGAAUCUUCCGGGCUACACGCGCGCUACAAAGGACAGGACAAUGGGCUGCGACCUCGAAAGGGGAAGCCAAUCCCGAAACCUGUUCGUAGUUAGGAUUGAGGGCUGUAACUCGCCCUCAUGAAUCUGGAUUCCGUAGUAAUCGCGGGUCAACAUCCCGCGGUGAAUAUGCCCCUGCUCUUU